Molecule: RNase P RNA, 352 nt
Filed under: Salmonella enterica
Lineage: Bacteria; Pseudomonadati; Pseudomonadota; Gammaproteobacteria; Enterobacterales; Enterobacteriaceae
Also listed under: 1 other name
Description: partial RNase P RNA component class A
Rfam family: Bacterial RNase P class A
About the family: Ribonuclease P (RNase P) is a ubiquitous endoribonuclease, found in archaea, bacteria and eukarya as well as chloroplasts and mitochondria.
Source: RNAcentral
GAAGCUGACCAGACAGUCGCCGCUUCGUCGUCGUCCUUUCGGGGAGACGGGCGGAGGGGAGGAAAGUCCGGGCUCCAUAGGGCAGGGUGCCAGGUAACGCCUGGGGGGGGAAACCCACGACCAGUGCAACAGAGAGCAGACCGCCGAUGGCCCACGUAAGUGGGAUCAGGUAAGGGUGAAAGGGUGCGGUAAGAGCGCACCGCGCGGCUGGUAACAGUCCGUGGCACGGUAAACUCCACCCGGAGCAAGGCCAAAUAGGGGUUCAUAAGGUACGGCCCGUACUGAACCCGGGUAGGCUGCUUGAGCCAGUGAGCGAUUGCUGGCCUAGAUGAAUGACUGUCCACGACAGAAC